Long non-coding RNA from Myotis myotis, 2640 nucleotides. RefSeq lists it as uncharacterized. The record is from RefSeq and is a predicted model, not a curated record. The transcript has 3 exons. Lineage: Eukaryota; Metazoa; Chordata; Mammalia; Chiroptera; Vespertilionidae.
UGUAAAUAUCUUGAUAUGCAGGAUGUAUUUAGGCAACCCCUGUGAAAGGGUCGCUCGACCCCCAAAGGGGUCGCGACCCACAGGUUGAGAACCGCUAGAGGGACCAACAUGGAGGUGAGCAGGAGAAAGGGAAGAGGUGGAGGUAGAGCAGCACCUGUGGGCCCUGUGGUCCUUGCAUUGGAGGGGCAGAAGCCUACUCACAAUAGGGAUAGUAACUCACAGGUCUGUUAAGAGGAUCAAGUAAGAGAACUCUAUCAUGCUCCUGACAAUAAUGUUAAGCAGAAUUAUUGUUACUUAUAAGUUAACCCAAAAGAUGGAGGGCAUGGAAUAUUUCCCAGCUGGUCUAAAGUGCAGAUGCUUUGGGAAAGGUAAGAAUGCUUUUCAAUAUAUGAAAAGAAAUAAGGGAGACAUUUCAGUGGGGAUUUCUUGAUCCAAACUUGUGUAUUUUUCUCAAACUAUCUGCCUGUCUAUGAGCUAGUUUGGGGUGCUCUUAUCUCAAAACUGAUGGUUAUUUUUCCCUAAAGCCAAGCAAAAUUGAGGUUUCAAAUCGUAGUUAUUUUCUAAUUUUGAAAUGUUAAUUCCAACUACAGCUUGCCUACCUCAAAGUGAUAGCAAACAACCAAAUGAGUGAGCCAAGUAAGCCGGCUACUGAAAAAGUUGCCCACGUGUGGUUCAAUAACUCUGUGGAUGUAUGUGAGAAUGGCUUUCUGUAUUUGAAAUCAUAAACAGACUCAGGUUUGCAGGGAUAAAGUACCUCUGUGUGUUCGGCUUCCUACCAAAUUACAGUCACAAAAAAGAAAAUGUCCACUUUGGUGUACAAAGGUUUUCUUAUUCUAGGCAACUUCCUCUUAGCCUUGGUUCAGAAAAGAAUAACAGGCUGUUCUACGUUUCUAAGCUCUACGCUACCUUCACUUAGCUUUUCAGAUUCUUUGUGGAAUAAGAUAGGAUACAAGCAAAUCAGCCAAACUGGCUUAGUGUCCUGCCAAGACUCAGAGGCACCUCUGGUUAGAUCCUGCUCUCCGCUUCCAGCCUUCUUGUCCAUUUGACUUUCUUACCUUGGCUUCGGAUCCUGUACUUAAUCCAAUUUGCCCCUUUCAUUUUCACGCUUGCCUUUGGAGAUCCUGUUGUUCCGUCAAUCCGUACAUUUAUUGAGCAUCUAUUGUGCCAGAUUUAGGCACAAAGGGCUCUUUUCCUCUUUUCUGCACUAACCCCGCCUCCUUGCAUCCCUAGGUUUCUGGGCACUUGGCAAUCCCCUCGCCCUGCUCCUGGGGCUGGCCUUGUGAGGCAGAAGUGCAUUAAGCAUGCAGUUACAGGGAGGAGCCCAAGCUCAGAUCAUGUUGGGCCAAAUGAAGAUGAGCAGGUUUCAAGUCAGAGUCAGAGAGCCAGGAAGUCAGACACCGGGAGCGAAGAUCACACAAAAGCAAAUUACAGGGAAGAGGAGGAAAUUAAACUUGAGCAGUUGUCUCAAACAUUCAUUAGUCUUUGAAUCAUGCCUUGCUAGAAGGUUGGCUUGGCUCAAAUUGUGUUAUUUAUUGUCCUGCUAUGAAAUGUGGUUUAAUAAAUAUUUUAUUGGUGGCAUUAUUUUUUGAGAUGUAGAAGCCAUAAUAAAGUUCUAUUUUCUGCUGGUAAAAUCAUUCCUAGCUUGUAUGAUUUUAUGUUGGAAUUAAAUACAUCAGUAAUUCACGGUGCUAUGUAAAGGCCAUCGUGAUCUCCAAGUGUUUGGUCAAUUUGAUGAGUUGAAAACUGCUGUGAGGGAAACAAUUUCAAGGCAAACAAGUUCACUGGAAAAAGAUUCUAACUCAAUUCAGAAAUAUUGUAAAUGGUUAUACCUCUAACUGAACUAUGUCUUGAAGCUUUAUGUUUAAUUUUAACUUAUUUGUGAGAUUCAUAUAUGUAUGUGUGAAAUGUGUGUGGUGUGUUUGGUGAAGCAUCAUAUAUUUCUAAUUACAAGUUCAAAAGUCAGAAUUAAAUGUAUAACUUACUCUGGUUUUGUAUUGUAGUUGCUUCCUCUCACUUUCUAUAAUUAUGUCGGCAGGAAGAUAACCUUGUAAAAUUAAGCCCCAUGCAGUGACUGACUUUUCAAUCAUGUUUUUGCCCACGAGUGGUGGUUUUAAAACUAUGUCCAUAAAUUCUUUGAUCCUCCCCUCUUGGAUAGGAAAGCCUGAUUCCCCUCCUCUUGUGUGUGGACACGACUUGUGUCUAAUGAACAGAAUCAAGUGGAGUGGAUGCAACAGUGUGCGACUGCAGAGACUAGUUGACCUUUGGACAACUGCCACCUAAGUGGGCUUGAAGUGGAUCUCCUAGCCCAGUCAAGCGUUCAGGGAUUUCCUUCAUGCCAGUGACAUUCUGUUCUGCAAGUUUCGCUGCAGAUGUAUGAGCAGUAAUAACCACAACGGACAUGCCUCUCUGCAGACCACAAAUGUCCAUCCAUGCUGCUGCAAAUGGUAGGAGCUCCUUCUUUUGCUUUGAAUGGGCUUGACCUUCCCAUUGACAUUCCUUCCUGUGACUUGCAUGGAUGUGUUUUCAGUGGCAUGUCACCCUUCUCUGCCGACCCUGUGAUGUGUCUGAGGACCUAAACAGCAGCUCCCUGUCGCAGUUGCCCUUCAUCCCCUUGUUUCUGUGUCUGGAUAUCUCUGAAAU